RNAcentral lists this small RNA (84 nucleotides) under Salix viminalis (osier). Lineage: Eukaryota; Viridiplantae; Streptophyta; Magnoliopsida; Malpighiales; Salicaceae. The record is from RNAcentral.
UUGGUCAUGUAUGUUAACUUAACCUCCUUUAGUUGAUUUUGGAACUUGAUGAUUUUACUUAGCAUGCACCAUCAGUAGGACCAU